GUGGGGAAUCUUAGACAAUGGGGGCAACCCUGAUCUAGCCAUGCCGCGUGAGUGAUGAAGGCCUUAGGGUCGUAAAGCUCUUUCGCUGGGGAAGAUAAUGACGGUACCCAGUAAAGAAACCCCGGCUAACUCCGUGCCAGCAGCCGCGGUAAUACGGAGGGGGUUAGCGUUGUUCGGAAUUACUGGGCGUAAAGCGCGCGUAGGCGGAUUGGAAAGUUGGGGGUGAAAUCCCGGGGCUCAACCCUGGAAUGGCCUUCAAAACUCCCAGUCUUGAGGUCGGGAGAGGUGAGUGGAAUUCCGAGUGUAGAGGUGAAAUUCGUAGAUAUUCGGAGGAACACCAGUGGCGAAGGCGGCUCACUGGCUCGAUACUGACGCUGAGGUGCGAAAGCGUGGGGAGCAAACAGGAUUAGAAACCCGAGUAGUCC
RNAcentral lists this ribosomal RNA (425 nucleotides) under uncultured bacterium. RNAcentral describes it as "partial 16S ribosomal RNA". It matches the Rfam family "Bacterial small subunit ribosomal RNA", at positions 354 to 796 of the family's 1533-position model. The record is from RNAcentral.